ACUCCUACGGGAGGCAGCAGUGGGGAAUUUUGGACAAUGGGCGAAAGCCUGAUCCAGCAAUGCCGCGUGAGUGAAGAAGGCCUUCGGGUUGUAAAGCUCUUUUGUCAGCGAAGAAACGGUGAAAGCUAAUAUCUUUUGCUAAUGACGGUACCUGAAGAAUAAGCACCGGCUAACUACGUGCCAGCAGCCGCGGUAAUACGUAGGGUGCAAGCGUUAAUCGGAAUUACUGGGCGUAAAGCGUGCGCAGGCGGUUUUGUAAGUCUGAUGUGAAAUCCCCGGGCUCAACCCGGGAAUUGCAUUGGAGACUGCAAGGCUAGAAUCUGGCAGAGGGGGGUAGAAUUCCACGUGUAGCAGUGAAAUGCGUAGAUAUGUGGAGGAACACCGAUGGCGAAGGCAGCCCCCUGGGUCAAGAUUGACGCUCAUGCACGAAAGCGUGGGGAGCAAACAGGAUUAGAAACCCCUGUAGUCC
Molecule: ribosomal RNA, 469 nt
Filed under: uncultured organism
Description: partial 16S ribosomal RNA
Rfam family: Bacterial small subunit ribosomal RNA
Source: RNAcentral